This 397-nucleotide RNase P RNA is filed under the name Spirochaetaceae bacterium. RNAcentral describes it as "RNase P RNA component class A". It matches the Rfam family "Bacterial RNase P class A". From Rfam's summary of the family: Ribonuclease P (RNase P) is a ubiquitous endoribonuclease, found in archaea, bacteria and eukarya as well as chloroplasts and mitochondria. Its best characterised activity is the generation of mature 5'-ends of tRNAs by cleaving the 5'-leader elements of precursor-tRNAs. Lineage: Bacteria; Pseudomonadati; Spirochaetota; Spirochaetia; Spirochaetales; Spirochaetaceae. The record is from RNAcentral.
GCGAUGAACCGCGCUGCCGCGGGGGCGUAGACAGCAUCUGCGCCUCUGAGGAAAGUCCGGGCUCCGCAGGGCACGAUGCCGGGUAACGCCCGGGAGCGUCCGCAAGGGCGCGACAGAAAGCGCAACAGAAAACAUACCGCCUGAGGAUGCGCCGACGCGCACUGGGGCAAGGGUGAAAAGGCGGGGUAAGAGCCCACCGCGGAACCGGCAACGGUUCCGGCACGGCAAGCCUCAUCGGGAGCAAAAUCAAACAGCGGCGGGACUGCCCGUCCAAACGCCGCGGGUAGAUUGCGAAGAUUCCAUCCGCAAGGGUGGAAGCAGACAGAUGGCAGCGCGCGGACGACCGCUUGACGGCCGUUUGCGCAACAGAACCCGGCUUACGCGGUUCAUCGCUUUU